ACCUCAAGGGAAUACUUGGAAAAACAGAUGUCAGAGGUUGAGAACAACCCGAGGGAACUUUUCCAGCAAGAUCCAGGUCUUGCUCGUCAGAUAAUGUCCAUGAGUGUAAUGACAUUGACGACUGAACUGUUGCUUUCCAAGCCCAAGUAUAUUCAAGAUUUGUUGCAAAAGUCUGGUAUGUCCUUUUGUCGUCCCAUUGCAACUCUUUCCACCACUUUUAAUUCUCGGUAGCAGGCUCCAAGCCAUGUUUGGAUGCUACUCGAUAUCGUCAAGGUGUUUGGAGGCCUUCAGUAUUUGACUCUUACAAGGCUUGACAUUUGGACUCUGUGAACAAAGCCUGUCCAUUCACCAAGUAAAGAUCGAUGGUCUGCUGUUAAACGUAUUCUGAGGUAUCUUCAGUGUACUUUUGGCUAUGGUUUAAUUACCCAAACUGUUUCAGGCCUUUAGCUCCAUGCAUUCACUGAUGCCAGUUGGGCUGCUAGUUUUGAUGAAUGUAUAUCUACCGGUGGCUACGCCAUUUAUCUUGAUCGCAAUCUGAUUUCAUGGAAGUCCUAAAAUCAACAACCAAAUUACAGACUAAACAGUAGAGAUUCAAAGAUAUGAUGAUCUGGCAAUGGCAUGCAACGCUAAAGUAUAAGGAUACAUCCCACUAAGAAAAAUUCAAGAAUCAUUGCCUGAAAUCACAGAGCCCAUGCUUGAGACAUUCAGUUCUUAUGAAAAGAGGGACGAAGGAAGAGAAAGAAAGUCAAUAAGAAAAGCUCGUUUUUUAAGUGUCAAGAUUUUCAAUUUCUUUUCCAUUGUAAUCUUCUCACAAGUCCUCCUUUUCUUAUUUCAAAUUCCCUAUUAUUUAUUCCCUAUUAUAUUGGAUUUAAUAAUAGAAAAAUUCAUUUUCCA
Long non-coding RNA from Populus nigra (black poplar), 894 nucleotides. RefSeq lists it as uncharacterized. NCBI's taxonomy places the organism in Eukaryota, Viridiplantae, Streptophyta, Magnoliopsida, Malpighiales, Salicaceae. The transcript is spliced from 2 exons. The record is from RefSeq and is a predicted model, not a curated record.